RNAcentral lists this ribosomal RNA (468 nucleotides) under uncultured bacterium. RNAcentral's name for it is "partial 16S ribosomal RNA". It matches the Rfam family "Bacterial small subunit ribosomal RNA", at positions 28 to 507 of the family's 1533-position model. The record is from RNAcentral.
GACGAACGCUGGCGGCGUGCUUAACACAUGCAAGUCGAACGGAAAGGCCCUGCUUUUGUGGGGUGCUCGAGUGGCGAACGGGUGAGUAACACGUGAGUAACCUGCCCUUUACUUUGGGAUAACUUCAGGAAACUGGGGCUAAUACCGGAUAGUAGCUCCUGCUGCAUGGUGGGGGUUGGAAAGUUUCGGCGGUUGGGGAUGGACUCGCGGCUUAUCAGCUUGUUGGUGGGGUAGUGGCUUACCAAGGCUUUGACGGGUAGCCGGCCUGAGAGGGUGACCGGCCACAUUGGGACUGAGAUACGGCCCAGACUCCUACGGGAGGCAGCAGGGGGGAAUAUUGCACAAUGGGCGGAAGCCUGAUGCAGCAACGCCGCGUGCGGGAUGACGGCCUUCGGGUUGUAAACCGCUUUCGCCUGUGACGAAGCGUGAGUGACGGUAAUGGGUAAAGAAGCACCGGCUAACUACGUG